Molecule: ribosomal RNA, 469 nt
Filed under: uncultured bacterium
Lineage: Bacteria
Description: bacterial SSU rRNA
Rfam family: Bacterial small subunit ribosomal RNA
Source: RNAcentral
ACUCCUACGGGAGGCAGCAGUGGGGAAUAUUGGACAAUGGGGGCAACCCUGAUCCAGCCAUGCCGCGUGUGUGAAGAAGGCUUUCGGGUUGUAAAGCACUUUCAGUGGUGAGGAAGGCCAGUUGCCUAAUACGUAACUGGAUUGACGUUAACCACAGAAGAAGCACCGGCUAACUCCGUGCCAGCAGCCGCGGUAAUACGGAGGGUGCAAGCGUUAAUCGGAAUUACUGGGCGUAAAGGGCGCGUAGGCGGUUUAGUAAGCGAGAUGUGAAAGCCCCGGGCUUAACCUGGGAACGGCAUUUCGAACUGCUAGGCUAGAGUGCAGUAGAGGGCAGUGGAAUUUCCGGUGUAGCGGUGAAAUGCGUAGAUAUCGGAAGGAACACCAGUGGCGAAGGCGACUGCCUGGACUGACACUGACGCUGAGGUGCGAAAGCGUGGGUAGCAAACAGGAUUAGAAACCCCAGUAGUCC